Molecule: long non-coding RNA, 198 nt
Filed under: Chinchilla lanigera (long-tailed chinchilla)
Lineage: Eukaryota; Metazoa; Chordata; Mammalia; Rodentia; Chinchillidae
Description: lncRNA (ENSCLAG00000027208.1)
Source: RNAcentral
GUUCAGUAAUUUGGAUAAAAUUGGAAAGCGGUUGGAGAUGAAGAGGAGCGAUCCCAGGUCUCCAGGGUCAUCUGCAGACCAUGAUAUGAAGAACUAAAUGCUUAGCAUGCAUGGACCCUUAACAGAAUCGAUCUGCUGUGUGGGAGUAUGAGGGGAAACCAACAGGUGGUUGGUAAAUACUCAUAAAUGAUUGUCAAC